RNAcentral lists this long non-coding RNA (204 nucleotides) under Manihot esculenta (cassava). RNAcentral's name for it is "long non-coding RNA (MESC_LNC010133)". The record is from RNAcentral. Lineage: Eukaryota; Viridiplantae; Streptophyta; Magnoliopsida; Malpighiales; Euphorbiaceae.
AUGAUAGCACUAGCCUCCAUCCUCCUAGCCAUAUCUACUAUGGCAUGGAAGCUCUCCCUAUCUGCGGACUGAAUCAAGGAGGAAUACCUGGAGUGAAGUUUCAUGAUAUACCUCCUUGACUUCUUCUGGUCUGUGUCAAGAGUUUGCCCUGCAAACGGCAACAGCUCCAAGAAUCUGUUGGUGUACUCCUCUAUACUCAUUUCC